UAUCUCUCUGUACAGGGAAGGAUGAGAAGCUUCGAUUAAGGUUCGACUCGAGCGGAAGCGAGAGAACGUUGCCAACGGCAACGGCCCGAAGGGGGAGG
Molecule: small RNA, 98 nt
Filed under: Salmonella enterica subsp. houtenae
Lineage: Bacteria; Pseudomonadati; Pseudomonadota; Gammaproteobacteria; Enterobacterales; Enterobacteriaceae
Description: partial RtT sRNA
Rfam family: RtT RNA
About the family: This family represents a bacterial cis-regulatory element known as RtT RNA. The exact function of RtT is unknown although it is thought that it may be involved in changing the cellular response in relation to amino acid starvation.
Source: RNAcentral